Vespula pensylvanica (western yellowjacket) is the source of this 1446-nucleotide RNA transcript. RefSeq lists it as uncharacterized. The transcript is spliced from 4 exons. Lineage: Eukaryota; Metazoa; Arthropoda; Insecta; Hymenoptera; Vespidae. The record is from RefSeq and is a predicted model, not a curated record.
AGAGGAGAGGAGAAGGAGAACAGAAUCCUGGAGAAGACGUCGAAGGACGAACGAGAACGUCCGUCGCUUUUUCGCGGGGACCUUUGCAGUGCGCAAGGGCGUUGGCGCUGAUGACGGACGGGUAACUGGAAACGGUAGAGAGAGACAGAGAGAGAAGAGAGUGGAAGUGUGGGUGAGAGGAGUAAAGAGGGAAAGGAGAAAAAGAGAGGGUGAGUGGAAGUAGGAUGUGGCGCGUUGUGGGGUGGAGGGGGUGCGCGGAAGGCGUCGAAGCUUCGCGCGACGGUAUGAGGAGGAUCGACGAGGAGAAAGAGAGAGAGAGAGGGAGAGAGAGUGAGAGAGAGAGAGAGAGAAGAAGGGAUGCUUCGUAGAGGAUAACGACGAGAGAGGGACGACGAUGAUGGUGGUGGUGGUGGUAAUAGUAGUGGUGGUAGUGGUGGUGGAAGAGGUGGUACAAGCAAAGACGAGUUCUCCCAGUCGCUCAGUCCGCGCCCCGACACGCAAUCGUACGCAUGUUUAUUUACUUGAUCUCUUCUCGUACGGACGACGAGAUACUACGAGACGAUCGAACGAGUCCUCGAACUUUGGAACUUCCCGCUUCCAAUCUUCGUGGACGACGCUACUGAGAAAGAGAGCCGUCGUCCUCUAACAAACGUUUUCUAGGUGAAGCUAUAUUGCGUCGUACGUAUAAUAUUUACAGUAGAGCUAGUUAAUGAACCUUCCGACGUAUUUCACUUCAACUCGAUCCAUAGGCGUGUAUAGGUAGGAGGUAUGACGCUAAUUAAGCUUGUCGUUCGCGUUCUCCAAACCGACAUCCGACUAACUAAUAGGAUGGAUCGUGAGUCCUUUUACUCGGUCAGGGUGAAAACGAGAUCCGUGACGUCUGUUGUACUCCUUGUUACCCGGCCGCAUAACCGUAAAUUUCUCGGACAACUUUCAAAGCUUAAGAGGAAGAAGGCGAGCGUUUGCGUCUUACGUAUACACGAGAAUCCUCGAGAGAGUAAGUAUGUAAAAGGAAAGAAAUAGAUAGAAGAUACCAUUGGAUGAGAAAGUACUUAUUACACGGUUUCUCGCAAAAUUUGGAAAUGCGUUAUUGCGUCAACUUUAAUAUCAAGAGCAAUUUAACGUGGUUUCAAUUAAACGCAUAUCUACCUACAAAUCUAUCUACGAAGCAAUUAUAUAUGUAUUUAUGUACAUAAGUCACGUUAACCCUUUCAACAGUGAAUUUCCGUAGUAUUAUUAAAUUGAUUUCUAAAACGUCAUAGAUAGAAUUAAGAGCGAUACAGUUACGUGCAACAAGCGAAUGAAGAAACAUUAAUGUGUUUUGAAUAACUAAAUUAAUGACAGAGUAGAUAUUAAUUUGGCGUUAAACUUUGAAACGUAAAUACGUGUACGUUCUUACUAUUGCUAUUAUUAUUACUACUAGAUUCAUUAAAGAUAUUACAUAAA